CUUUGGCUAAAAUGCAGAGCUCUUGUACAAGAGAAGUGGGAAACAACACUGGAGAAAAAUGGGGGCCAAUAUAUAAGGACUAGAAGGAAGGAUAGUAAAUACUUCAGGAACUCAGAGAACUAGCAGCUAACAUGAAGAUGGAAUGUGGCACUACCAAUCUAUUUCCUCUCACCUUUGCUGAAGAAAGACAUCCCAGAAGACUUCAUUUCUUAAAAUUGCAUCUGCUGACAAAUUCUAACAUGGAAGAAUAUUAAACUGGAGAUUCUGAUGAAGGCAACUAGGAAGGAGAAAAUCAUGCAAAGAGGUACUGGGGUGGCUGCCUUUCAUUCAACACAUGUCAAGGUGGGCCGUCCUUACCCCCUCUAGCCAAGCAGCUUUUCACAGCUGGACCUGGGCAUUUUCUGGAAUAAAAACAUAAACUGCAUAGCCAAGGAAUUUGCCCUCUGAAGCAAACAGCAUCCAAUCCAUCCUGUGGACAGCUCAAGGAGGAAAAAAAAAAUAAAAAAACCCGACAACAACCCAAUAACCCAGCUACUUGUCAGCCAGUGUGCUGCCUUGGCUAAUGAAUAUUAGACAAAUGAAUUUGCCUUGUUUGAGCCUCCAAACAUCCAGGAUUAAACCAAUAACCUUAAAGAACAUGACGUCCUGAGCCAGCAAAUUAAAGGCUGUUUCCAGCCCCA
Molecule: non-coding RNA, 680 nt
Organism: Phascolarctos cinereus (koala)
Lineage: Eukaryota; Metazoa; Chordata; Mammalia; Diprotodontia; Phascolarctidae
Source: RefSeq, a predicted model, not a curated record